GGCCGGGUGCGAUGCAAGGGUCGGCUGUGAACCGGGUCAGGUCCGAAAGGAAGCAGCCAUAAGCAGAUCCGGUCUUGUGCCGUCGUCACCCGGUCGUC
Molecule: signal recognition particle RNA, 98 nt
Filed under: Phycisphaerae bacterium
Lineage: Bacteria; Pseudomonadati; Planctomycetota; Phycisphaerae
Description: signal recognition particle sRNA small type
Rfam family: Bacterial small signal recognition particle RNA
About the family: The signal recognition particle (SRP) is a universally conserved ribonucleoprotein involved in the co-translational targeting of proteins to membranes. Archaeal SRP consists of a 7S RNA and homologues of the eukaryotic SRP19 and SRP54 proteins.
Source: RNAcentral